Molecule: ribosomal RNA, 153 nt
Filed under: Thermobrachium celere DSM 8682
Lineage: Bacteria; Bacillati; Bacillota; Clostridia; Eubacteriales; Clostridiaceae
Description: 5.8S ribosomal RNA
Rfam family: Bacterial large subunit ribosomal RNA
Source: Rfam by way of RNAcentral
AAGGGCGCAUGGUGGAUGCCUUGGCACCAGGAGCCGAUGAAGGACGUGGUAAGCUGCGAAAAGCUGCGGGUAGCCGCAAACAGGCUGUGAUCCGCAGAUGUCCGAAUGGGGGAACCCGCAUGGCUAACGCCAUGCAUCCUUAGCUGAAUCCAU